CCUACGGGAGACAGCAGUGAGGAAUAUUGGUCAAUGGGCGCGAGCCUGAACCAGCCAAGUCGCGUGAGGGAAGACGGUCCUAUGGAUUGUAAACCUCUUUUGUCGGGGAGCAAAAGACGCCACGCGUGGCGUUCCGCGAGUACCCGAAGAAAAAGCAUCGGCUAACUCCGUGCCAGCAGCCGCGGUAAUACGGAGGAUGCGAGCGUUAUCCGGAUUUAUUGGGUUUAAAGGGUGCGCAGGCGGAAGAUCAAGUCAGCGGUAAAAUUGAGAGGCUCAACCUCUUCGAGCCGUUGAAACUGGUUUUCUUGAGUGAGCGAGAAGUAUGCGGAAUGCGUGGUGUAGCGGUGAAAUGCAUAGAUAUCGCGCAGAACUCCGAUUGCGAAGGCAGCAUACCGGCGCUCAACUGACGCUCAUGCACGAAAGUGUGGGUAUCGAACAGGAUUAGAUACCCGGGUAGUC
This 459-nucleotide ribosomal RNA is filed under the name uncultured bacterium. RNAcentral describes it as "partial 16S ribosomal RNA". It matches the Rfam family "Bacterial small subunit ribosomal RNA", at positions 338 to 795 of the family's 1533-position model. The record is from RNAcentral.